Molecule: ribosomal RNA, 403 nt
Filed under: uncultured bacterium
Lineage: Bacteria
Description: bacterial SSU rRNA
Rfam family: Bacterial small subunit ribosomal RNA
Source: RNAcentral
GGGGGAUAUUGCACAAUGGAGGAAACUCUGAUGCAGCAACGCCGCGUGAGGGAAGAAGGUCUUCGGAUUGUAAACCUUUGUCCUUGGUGACGAAACAAAUGACGGUAGCCAAGGAGGAAGCUCCGGCUAACUACGUGCCAGCAGCCGCGGUAAUACGUAGGGAGCAAGCGUUGUCCGGAUUUACUGGGUGUAAAGGGUGCGUAGGCGGCUCUGCAAGUCAGGCGUGAAAACUAUGGGCUUAACCCAUAGACUGCGUUUGAAACUGUGGAGCUUGAGUGAAGUAGAGGUAGGCGGAAUUCCCGGUGUAGCGGUGAAAUGCGUAGAGAUCGGGAGGAACACCAGUGGCGAAGGCGGCUUACUGGGCUUUAACUGACGCUGAGGCACGAAAGCAUGGGUAGCAAAC